UACGGAGGAUUCAAGCGUUAUCCGGAUUUAUUGGGUUUAAAGGGUGCGUAGACGGCUGUGCAAGCCAGAUGUGAAAGCCCGGGGCUCAACCCCGGGACUGCAUUUGGAACUGUAUAGCUAGAGUGUCGGAGAGGCAGGCGGAAUUCCUAGUGUAGCGGUGAAAUGCGUAGAUAUUAGGAGGAACACCAGUGGCGAAGGCGGCCUGCUGGACGAUGACUGACGUUGAGGCUCGAAAGCGUGGGGAGCAAACAGG
RNAcentral lists this ribosomal RNA (253 nucleotides) under uncultured Blautia sp. RNAcentral describes it as "partial 16S ribosomal RNA". It matches the Rfam family "Bacterial small subunit ribosomal RNA", at positions 524 to 776 of the family's 1533-position model. Lineage: Bacteria; Bacillati; Bacillota; Clostridia; Lachnospirales; Lachnospiraceae. The record is from RNAcentral.